Molecule: long non-coding RNA, 5107 nt
Filed under: Homo sapiens (human)
Lineage: Eukaryota; Metazoa; Chordata; Mammalia; Primates; Hominidae
Description: HSALNT0307999
Source: RNAcentral
GAAAAAAGAAAAAAGAGAAAGAAAUCACAGUUGUAACACCAGGAAUUUCUAUUCUUACAGCAGAAAUAGACAUUUGUAAUAAGCUUUGGCUCACAGUCAGGGUUGCCACUGCCACUGCAAAACAGGCAAAUUGAAUUGAAGCAGCUAAAAAAACCUCAGGUUUUGGUGAAGUUUGCAGGUUGGAUUACCGGCAGCUACUGCAGAGAGAAGUUUGGAUUGCAAAUAUGGCAUUUGUUGACCCUGGGCAUUGUUUAAUGCCCUGUAUAGACCAUCGUACAGACCAUGUCAGAAUUCCUAGUCUUUUACUUCUAAAUUUUAUUACAUCGUGUGAAAUUUAGAAAAAUAUAAGCUGUUUAUUUUCUUGAUCAAGAUAGGUGAAGAAAUACAGAAAAGAAAGAAAUAAUGAAAGCAAACCCCAACUUUCAGAUUUGGACACACCUUUGCUAAAAACUAUCAACAUUUUCCCCUUGAAAUUCUGAGUGGAAAGAUAUGUGCUUCCCUAAGUCAGGAGCUGUAUGUGCACUCCCCACCCCGAAACAUUUUUUGGGCAAAUGGAAUCAUUAAAGGAAUGAGAGGUAUCUACUCUUCAGUUCCCACUCAUUGACACAAACAGAAAACGCUACUGCAGCUUUCAGAGGUGACAGCUACUGUCUUCAAGGUGGAGAUAAGAGGUAAAUGGAGGGAGGUCAUACCUCAACUCCAGGAAUCUUGAAACUAAAAUGUUUUCUCAAAAAGCCAUGCACACAUUCAAAAAAAACCUUGGAUUUUCUAGAGCAGAUCUAUUAUCUUUUUUCUGGGUUUUUUUUUUUCAUUGUCUCCAUGAGUAAACUUAUAUUAGAAACCACACCUAAAAUUGGUUACCAGUUACACUUCUGGGGCCAGAAAGCAAAGGAAAUUAAUAAAAGGGAAACACCCUAGGGAGAAACUGAAUGAACUCUUAGAUGGCUAAAAUUUUGUGACUAAUCAGCAUCCUCUUUAAAUGUACCAUAUCCAAGUCUGACCUUUUUACUUAGUAGAAAAACAAUACAAAGAUUGCAGUUUCCAUUUUAAAUACAAUCUUUUUGUUCAAUUGUCAACCAGGAGUGGUUUUAAAUAAAACCACUUUCUGUAUUUUCCUCAGAGGUGUCUUAAUUUUCCCUAUCAAACUCACAAACCAAAGGUACUAAAGUCAGCAAGACCUAAUGUCUAAUUUACUUAUACCUAUGAUGAAAUCUAGUGCCAAGGAUCAUCCAUGGCCAUUGCCCCACUUCAAAUAUUCAUGAGCCUCCACAAUCCAAAAUGCAUUAAAUGUGGGCAGGUUGCCAAUAACACACAAUCUUCCUAAUGACAGGGAGCUUUCUCAGAUCAAAGGAGCAAGAUGUUAAAGACUUCAAACUAAACUGUCUUUGUAAGAGACACCCAGAAAAGAAAUGCCAGAUCCCACACCCUGUUUCAGUUAUGAAACAUCAAUGAAAUAGAGAAAAUAAUAAACAUUCAUUCAUUCCUCUUUGGAACUCAUUUUUUUGCAACAACUUUGCUUCUUUCCUUUCUUACCAUUGCACUCAAACACUAAGGAUGUUAUACACUAAAACUGGAAAAUAUUAUUAAUGCUUUCAAAGACAAAAUGACUACUAAGGAGUUAAUAGCAUUUAUGCCAAUAUGAUAUCGCUAAUGGAGCCUGAGUGGCAUGUAGAGAAUACUACAAAAGCAAAGUUAAAACAGGGAUAAAGAGCUAUGAAGAAUACAUAUAAAGCAAAUAUACCUAAUAAUUUAAGUUGUCCCUUUAUGUCAUUUGUCAUCUGGCUGCAUCUGCUCUUAAACCUGUGCACCUGUGCUCUGUUCCUGGAAAUAUUAGGCAUGCAGCCAAUUUCAUACCCAGCCAUUCCUAUGGUCAGACCCAGCUAUCAGUGCUUUUGUAUGUAUAUGUAUAUUAAAUCAAGUAUCAACCCCCGGGCUCUGAACUACUUCUGACUGACAGAACCAACAGAAAGUUCCAGGCUAAUUACUUCUAAGGAAUAGUUCCCAGAGAAAAGAGUUUCCACUGACCUACUUUGGACUUACUGAGAUAAUUUAUCAGGUAAGAUAAUUAAGGGAAUAUAAGGCUGUUUCUAAAGUGAAAUCAGAAAUAUUUGCUGAAAUCAUAAGUUGGUAUUCCCAAUGCUAUCAGAUGGAGCUUUAUUACUUUGCAAUGAGUCAAUUUUAUUAUAUUUGACUUAUUUAUAAGCCAUUCUUCUUCUUUAUAAAUUAUAUUUGGCAGGGUGUAUUUGAGAAUCCCUUUUAUGUAUAAAUGUAUUAGUUUUGACUGUUUUCAGUCUGGAUAUAAAGAGAAAUGAUAUUUUAAUCCCUUUCUUCUUCUCUUAACCCCUUCCCCAUAAACAGGCACACACAUCCCUUCACACAGGUGUUUCAGUUACUUUCGAAGUCCAUCCUUAAUGAAAGAUACCUCUAUUAUGAGAAUGGAUGUACUGGCGUGUGAAUAACUUGUCCUGUUGAAUUUUAACCCUCUUUUGGAAGCUUAAUCCUUUCCUACAUUUAAGUUAAUAUCUAUAACUGAAAAAGUAUUUUGUAGCAAUGGUCUUCCUUUCCUAUUGAGAGAACCUAAAAUUUUCUGAUUUUUUACAGCCUUGAUGUUCUCCAUGUAAGGAAAAUGCAAGAGAAAAACCUUGAAAUGAAAUCAUAGAACAUAAACUACGGUCUUAGAUUAGAUUACAAGCCAUCUGUUUUCUCAAAAUAAAAGCAUUAAAAUGUUAUGUCAUUAGUAUCAUAGUUUGUCAAUGCCAUCUAAUUAUUAUUUUUUCUCUUCUUCUUUUAUUCUCCUUCUCUUUCCCCUAUUUAUUAAUUUUUUUAUUCCCAUCUCCAGUGUGACUUUCUUCUGAACUCAAAAACUCAUCUAACUAUGAAAACAUGAUCAGCUAACUGUGUACUGACUUUUUUAUUCUAAUAAAGAUUUAUCUUCAUCUUGAAAGUACUUAAGAAUGUUUGAAUAACUAGAUUUAACCCAGUGGGAAAAUGCAAAAUAUUAACUUAUUAGGCCAGGGUUAAAGAAAGAUCAGGAAUUAAUUUUUCACCUUAGUUUCAGUAUUGUGGAUAUAGUAAGAACAUUAUUUCACGUCAGCAGUUAUUCACAUCUUGUUAUUAUUUCAUAAUGCAGGAUUGAGGAAAUCUGUACACAUAAAAUUAUAGUUUAGUUAGUGUUAAAGGCAAAAUAAAACAAUAAGUUGUACUCUUUGUUGCCACUUAUCAUAUGUAGUAUUUUAUGUUUGAGAGAACCUGGCCGUGGUGUCAUCCAAAAUCAAUAGCGUAUCAACGCUCCCUUGAUUUAGUGAAGGUUCUGUUGCCUAGUACUAUAGUCAGAUCACUCCGCUAUUGCUUCCUAUCUUACUUUACAGCCUCUUUCAUUCUAUGCCUAUUUAAUUUCACUCAUUGCUUUAUUCCUGUGUCCUUCAGCUGUUUCCAAUCUGCCCUUCAUGGCCAUGACUAAAUACAAUAUGUUAACAUACAAAGGUACGUUAACAUACAAGGUAUGUAAAUGAAAAUCAAUGCACUUGUCAUUUCAGCACAAUUCCUUAUUGCUUACAUUCAACAUUUUAAAUACAUUUUAUUUAAACACUAAUAACUUUUGUUCUUGUCUUGGAAGUCUAAUGAUCUUCUUGGCUCCCUGCCCCUACAGCCCUCUAAUCUUCACAGCCGUGGCCACUUAGCCCCCAUCUGGAGGUUCAGGCUUAUUCUGCAUCUUGGAGCUAAUCUUGUCCCUAUGCUGGGGGCAUACAAGAUAUCAUAGCCAAGAGCUAACUGAUUUAGCACUCAGCUUUGCUGCUGGUUUCAUUCUGAUCUUGUAAUUUAUUUCUCAGAUGUAGGCUAUGCUUCUCCCAGCAACUUGUAACCAAGGCUUGGCUUUGUAUACCAGUUGCAAUAUCUAUCCAGGCUUUCCUGUUUCAGUUCUUGACGAGUUUUUCUGAUUGACACCAAUUUCUCCAUGACUAAGGUUCUCCUUUGUCCUUCUCCUUGUCUCAUUUGUAACUGAAUUUAUUUUCUGAAGUACAGUUGCCAUGGCUGGGCCCUGUAGACAAUUGCUAAGCCUUUCUGGUGCCACUAUCCUUGCCCAUAUCUUUUCAUACUGCCUUCAUACCAUGGAUCUGAACUUUUGCAAGAAUACCAGGAUUAACCCCCUGCUUGCCUGGAUGUUUUCCCACUUCCAGCUGCAAACAUCUACCUAGACCAGCUCUAACCUUGCAGGCCUUGGAGAGUCACUGCAAAUAUGCUGCCUGCAAUCUGGCCAUCUCAUUGUCUAGACAUGACAGCAAAGACAUAUUGUUUCAAUUGCAUCUUUGGUUGAAUUGUUAUGCUAACAACCUUUAGUUACUUUCACCUCGUAUCUUCAUCUUGGUCCUGCCACUUUAACACUUUAAAACUCAGUUUUCUCUUUUUAGAGUAAAAUAAUAAUGGAAUCUACCUCCUAUGGCUAUUUUGAAGAUAGCUGAGAAAAAAAAACAGUAUACAAAUGGAUAAAACCCAUAGUAAACAACCAAUAAUUUUCAGCUGCUCUUAAAAGCUCAUGUCUUAAAUGUCUUGGAGAAUGGAGCUAUACCACUUAAAGAAUAAUCAUUAAAAAGAUAAGGAACUAGGAAAAUUAAAAUUCUUAAAAAAAAGAGACUCAUGUACAUUUUUUAAAAAGUGAAACAAUUUAUAAGAAAACAGCUUGAAAAAAUGAUGCUGAAAUACAGAUGCAGUCACCAAUAAACGUUAGAAACGAAAUAUUUUAAGGAUACAUUUCCUAUUUGUGUGUCUUGAUCUUAUGACUACAGAAGAGCCCUAAAGCAUUUAGGAAGGAGAAAGAGUCUUUGAAUUAGUCAUUUAUUUUAGAGUAGUAUUUCCAUAAUCCCCUGGGGGUCUUGUAGAAAAGUAAAAUUUUGAGUCCCACUUCUCUGAAAUUCUGAUUCAUUAAUUUUGGGGCAGAACUAAAUAACUGGUAUGUUUAAAAAAAUUCUCAAAGUACUUCUGGCAAUCUCUCAGUUUUGGGAACCACAAAUUCAUCAGCCAUUAAGGUCCCUAGGAUGUUUUUUAAAAACCAUACAUUUGUUGGCUGGGCGUGGUAGCUCACACCUGUAAUUCCAGCACUUUGGGAGGC